UCCUCAGGUGAACCUAAAGUGCGAUCGUUACUGAGUUUACGCUCUACAACCCUUUGUGAACAUACCUAUAACUGUUGCUUCGGCGGGUAGGGUCUCCGCGACCCCCUUUGGGUCCCUCCCCCGGGCGGGUCCCUUCCCCCCCGGGGAUAACCAAAGUGGGGGUUACCGACGUUUCUUUGAGUGGUACAAGCAAAUAAUCAAAACUUUUAACAACGGAUCUCUUGGUUCUGGCAUCGAUGAAGAACGCAGCGAAAUGCGAUAAGUAAUGUGAAUUGCAGAAUUCAGUGAAUCAUCGAAUCUUUGAACGCACAUUGCGCCCGCCAGCAUUCUGGCGGGCAUGCCUGUUCGAGCGUCAUUUCAACCCUCAAGCUCUGCUUGGUGUUGGGGCCCUACAGCCGAUGUAGGCCCUCAAAGGUAGUGGCGGACCCUCCCGGAGCCUCCUUUGCGUAGUAACUUUACGUCUCGCACUGGGAUCCGGAGGGACUCUUGCCGUAAAACCCCCCAAUUUUCCAAAGGUUGACCUCGGAUCAGGUAGGAAUACCCGCGAACUAUCUAGUCCUCCCU
This 564-nucleotide ribosomal RNA is filed under the name Colletotrichum gloeosporioides. RNAcentral describes it as "eukaryotic LSU rRNA". The stretch from base 202 to 355 matches the Rfam family "5.8S ribosomal RNA". Lineage: Eukaryota; Fungi; Ascomycota; Sordariomycetes; Glomerellales; Glomerellaceae. The record is from RNAcentral.